RNAcentral lists this long non-coding RNA (249 nucleotides) under Sorghum bicolor (sorghum). RNAcentral's name for it is "long non-coding RNA (SBIC_LNC015178)". The record is from RNAcentral. Lineage: Eukaryota; Viridiplantae; Streptophyta; Magnoliopsida; Poales; Poaceae.
UGUUUGAAGCUCUAAUACCAAGGGUAGAGGGGACCUACUAACUGGUGCAUCUUGAGUCAUUGGCCAUCAAGAAAAAGCACCAGCUAAUUGAAGCUCUAAAGGCACCUUCUGAAGACUGGAGUUUGAAGACAUGAAGCCAUCUUGCUGCCUAGUCAUGUGCUCCUGUGCCUAGGCAUGUGCUCCUGCAGGAGAUGUAUUUCUUAUGAAUUGUCCUAAGACUUGCAAUAUCUUAUUGGGGCUUUCUGUUUA